Long non-coding RNA from Rosa rugosa (rugosa rose), 998 nucleotides. RefSeq lists it as uncharacterized. Lineage: Eukaryota; Viridiplantae; Streptophyta; Magnoliopsida; Rosales; Rosaceae. The transcript is spliced from 2 exons. The record is from RefSeq and is a predicted model, not a curated record.
UCCCAUGGGAAGAGGUUAGUCUUUUUUUUUUUCCUCCCAAUUUGCCUAGCUAGUAAUCAGGGCUUUGUUUUGGGUUUGUUCUCUCACUGUCUUAUGAUUUAUUAUUAUUUUUCACUUAAUUAAAAAAAUUUAAUUGAGCAACAUGAUGCUGUUUCACUUUCUUUUGUUCAUGAUUAUUCUAUUCUCAGAAUAAGAUAUGUGAACCCAUUUGUUAAAUAAUAUAGGAGAAAUAAUGUAGUGCCUGGUCAAUCAGUGUUUGCUAGGGUAGCAUUUGCAAUUUCAAAGUUUGAGCCUGUCACUAUGUGUUCCAGUGCUGCUCAGGUUAGUAAUAUUAGAGAUAAGAAAGGCUCUGAGAAUCUUUAAUAUCUAUUGGUCUUUUUUAUCAGUGUUGGAAGAGAUUUAAGUUUGAAUUCAUUAAGCUCAGUGGCAAAUGCACGAAGUCAGCUACCAUAAAAUGUCAGGGUUAUCGAGAUGAGUCUGAAUGAUUUUGGUUUCGUGAUACAAUCCUAGCGGUGAGCUUCUUCUACUGAUAACAAAUUCAUUAGUGGAAUACAAUGAUUUCAAUGUUGAUCUUUAAACCUUUGAUAUAUAUAUAUAUUUUUUAAGUUUCUUAUAGGAAGAAGUGCAUCAUGUUCUAGUCCCCCAGAGCCAAAAGUUGCUAGCAUUGAUUGGAAUUUUAAUAGCUGGGGAGAUUGGAUUGUGAAAUUUUUGUGUUGUACUACAUGGAGAAACUUUCGAAAGAGGAGGGGAUUCAGAAGACACUCAGCAAGAAGUAUAUUUUGCAAUAUAGAGCUCAUAUAAUCAAGACAUUUGCGAAACAUAGGCAGAUUUGGAUUUCUACAGAUUUAGAGUUUUAGAAAUUUGUUUAGGGCUUAGGAUGCAAGUCACUGGCCAAUUGUAAACUCUAGCUUACUAAAUCAAUUAGCUUUUUAUAUCUUUUUAUGGUAUCACUGUUAUGUUUAGUUUUCCUUAAUGAAAUUUACAGCACAUUCAAGUUU